AUUGAACGCUGGCGGCAUGCCUUACACAUGCAAGUCGAACGGUAACAGGUCUUCGGAUGCUGACGAGUGGCGAACGGGUGAGUAAUACAUCGGAACGUGCCCGAUCGUGGGGGAUAACGAAGCGAAAGCUUUGCUAAUACCGCAUACGAUCUACGGAUGAAAGCAGGGGACCGCAAGGCCUUGCGCGAACGGAGCGGCCGAUGGCAGAUUAGGUAGUUGGUGGGAUAAAAGCUUACCAAGCCGACGAUCUGUAGCUGGUCUGAGAGGACGACCAGCCACACUGGGACUGAGACACGGCCCAGACUCCUACGGGAGGCAGCAGUGGGGAAUUUUGGACAAUGGGCGAAAGCCUGAUCCAGCCAUGCCGCGUGCAGGAUGAAGGCCUACGGGUUGUAAACUGCUUUUGUACGGAACGAAAAGACUCUGGUUAAUACCUGGGGUCCAUGACGGUACCGUAAGAAUAAGCACCGGCUAACUACGUGCCAGCCGCCGCAGUAA
RNAcentral lists this ribosomal RNA (498 nucleotides) under uncultured bacterium. RNAcentral's name for it is "partial 16S ribosomal RNA". It matches the Rfam family "Bacterial small subunit ribosomal RNA", at positions 30 to 523 of the family's 1533-position model. The record is from RNAcentral.